This 253-nucleotide ribosomal RNA is filed under the name uncultured bacterium. Its description in RNAcentral is "partial 16S ribosomal RNA". It matches the Rfam family "Bacterial small subunit ribosomal RNA", at positions 524 to 776 of the family's 1533-position model. The record is from RNAcentral.
UACGGAGGGUGCGAGCGUUGUCCGGAAUCAUUGGGCGUAAAGGGCGCGUAGGUGGCUUCUCAAGCGUGCGGUGAAAGCCUGGGGCUCAACCCCGGGUCGGCCGUGCGAACUGGGGGGCUUGAGCACUGUAGAGGCAGGCGGAAUUCCGGGUGUAGCGGUGGAAUGCGUAGAGAUCCGGAAGAACACCGGUGGCGAAGGCGGCUCUCUGGACCGAGACUGACGCUGAGGCGCGAAAGCGUGGGGAGCAAACAGG